GCUGUCACCGCCACAGACUCCAAAGCUACGAGCCCGUACUGCAAGGUACGGUAGCUUACUGCAAUAAAAUGCUAUUGCGGUUUGAAUCGCGAAGUUAGUGUGUGCUCCGUCGUUUACAGUGUUGUUUUUUUAAGUGCGUCCCCCUGUGUGUUUUUUUAUACUGUGGCUGACUUUUAACUUGUGUUUGAUCCAUAUGGGGCAGGGGCAUAAAGUUACAAUAAAUAAAUAAAAAAUUGCACGUAAACCCUUCUGCAUUGAGUUUUGUGUUUGGUUUGAACUUUUUGUUAGAUACAAUGUCAGUGAGAAGUGUGGUCCACGAACAAAGACACAAAGAGGCAAUGUGUAAGGAAAGUGAAAAACAUCUCACAGUUGUUGGAAAUCUGUCAGAGGUAAUGCGGAAAUAUCUUGAUCCUCAGGUAACAGUAUUAGCAUCAUAUACAUUGUGCAGGAAUUGCUACACUCAUUACAAGAAGAAAUUUAGUGAAAAGCCACCUGAAUGAUCAUCCCCUGAAUGUGAAACUGAAGAAUACAGUACAGUUGUUUAUUUUCUUGGGUGCAAAGUUGUUUAUGCAUUGAAUGUUAGCAUUUCCGCUGUAGCCCGCACUAUAUCCCCCCAUUAAACGUCCAGGAAAGGUAAGAAGCACAAGAAGAAAACAGUGUGUAACAAGGAAAGUGGAAGAAAUUGAAACACAUUUUACAAAGUAACAUCUUCAAAACUUUGUGAAGUGUAUAAUGUAGAUGAACUUGGUGCAGAACCUGAAGAUCGUGAUAUGUGUGUGAAAUGUUAUGUGUGUUUUCAAAACCUAAAUACUGCCAUCUCAGCAGCAGCCUAUGCUGAGAAGCUGCAGUUACUGACACCAGGCUAUUAAUACUAGGUAGCUACUCUAAGCAGAAGAUACAGAAAUAAAUAACCUCUUCCUCACAUUAUUCAAUUUCAAAAGGUCGUAAAAUAGAGAAUGAGAAAGGUAUUUGAACAUGCCCGGAUUCUUACUGUGGGUAUCCGUUGCAAGAUGAUACACUUACUGUUGCUCUGGAAUAUUACCUAAGCAAUGACAACGAUUGCAGCAGGCAAAGUACUAACCAUGUUGAUAUUAUCUCUGUUAGUGAAAACAGUGAUAAAGUUGAAAAUGUGAAAAGGUAUAGGACAACAUCAAUAAAAGAAGCGUAUCUCCCGAUGAAAAAGUAGAACCCAAAUUUAAAAACAGGUCUCAGAAAAUUCUACUCUUUAUGACCAAAAUGGGUAAAAUGCCAGCCAGUGAAAGAAGUAUCCACAUGUAUUUACUGCACUAAUUUGAAACAUGUUUGUUUCACCAUAAGCAGUAUCACAGGAAAGAAGUACUGUACACAAAGAUGGACUGAUGCUUUUGUGUAUAUGUCAAGAGCCGCAAAUUAAAUGUUGGUUGCAGGAGUGCGCAAUGUGGCCUGGUGCUAAAGUGAUGACUGUUGAAGCAUUGCACCUUCAGGAUACUGACAAUGACAUAACCUAUGCAUUGUGGGAGGGAGGAGAGUUGGUGAAGAAGACAUAGAGCCAGAGAAGUUUGUUACAGAGGUUAGGUGUUUUGUCAUGAAAGGAAUAGCUCACCAUCACAUCCAGAGGAUUCAGAGAAAAGCCAUAGCAGAAGUAAAAUCAGCCACAUCCCAGCAUACUGACACAUUAGUUCCUCAUUUCAAUUUUACUGAGGACUGGUCUGUUGCUUUGCAGAACGAAAUUCAGAGUUACUACUGGCACACAUUGCAGAAGAGGCCACUGGACAUUAUUUACUGUAUAUUUCAAGUAAGGACUACUUGUGGUAUGCUAAGGAACAAGAGAAACCAUCAGUAUUUUUCAAAAAGCCAGCAGAGUGGCAGACAAGCCUCUCGCCAGAGUAGAGGUCCCUCUCUCAAGAUGAAUGUGUUCAAAUGUAUCAAGCUUGCAUUAAGAAAUUUGGGAUCACGUUUUGAUGGAAAUGGUGCAUUUGAAAACUUGCAAAAAUUUCUUGGAGACUGUAUUCUCCAAGACAUAAUUCAUAGGAAACAAACUCUCUGUUUUGUAUGCCAAUGAGAAGUACAGAAAGAUUUCCACCAGGAAGAUGUUAGAAAUGCUUAAUGAGGAUAAGAACAUUUUUACAGAUACUUAAAGCUGUUAUGCUUUAUUCUUUCUAACUCUUCUACCAGAGUAUCUAUGGAACAAACUUUUCUUGCCUAAAAUGUAUAAAAACAUAGCUGAGGAUUGCAAUUUCAGGAGAUAGACUUUCCUUCUGUAGUGAAUAUUUAAAUUAAGAGUGGGUUUCUACUGCAGUUAAUAUAAAUACAGCAGUUGUAUGAAGACAUCACCAAUCAGUUUACAGCCUUAAAGGAUCAAAGGAUGGAUUUGGUGUACAAGAAAUAGACACAUUAAAUUAUUAAGAUAAGCGCGUGUAAAUAUAGGUAUAUUUUUCUCUCCUGCUAGCUCUUCUCCUAACUUCCCAGCUAUGAGUGCCCGUGAAUUGCUGUACCCAAGGAACACUACACUCGGGUAAUUGUGAGCACAUAGUGUGCAAAAUAUUGCUGGAAGAGAGUCCAAAAUUGUGACACUCCUAAGAACCGUUGGAAUCCGGCAUUAUAUAAGAAGAGUAAACCAUUCUGAGUGCAGAUAUAUUAUGAAAUAUUGUGGUUGCCCUUGGCCAGCAGCUGUUAGAGAGAGAACAGUUCUUGAUGGGCAACUGGCGACUACACAGCAGUAUGAGCAGCAGUUGCUCUAAAUUGUACAACUACACAAUGUCACCAAAUCAAAUAAAAUAAAAUUUUUGUUAUCACAUAUCAUGCUCAUACAAUCAAAGAUUGUGACAUGUGUGACUUGUCAAUUCUAGAACUAUAUACAGACUGAUAAACCAAUCUAAUGUUACAAUAAAUAUUUUGUUGCUUCUUGAGACAGGUAUUACUUUAGAUGCUUAUAAUUAAAAAAUACUAAUAAAUAAAAUUGUGUCACUAGGUGUAUUCAACAUUACAAUGCUGCAUUACAGAGUCUGUUGAGCUGUAUUUACACCAAUAUACUUUCUUGAA
Long non-coding RNA from Schistocerca serialis cubense, 3021 nucleotides. RefSeq lists it as uncharacterized. Lineage: Eukaryota; Metazoa; Arthropoda; Insecta; Orthoptera; Acrididae. The record is from RefSeq and is a predicted model, not a curated record. The transcript has 4 exons.